Molecule: non-coding RNA, 66 nt
Organism: Pseudomonas sp. StFLB209
Lineage: Bacteria; Pseudomonadati; Pseudomonadota; Gammaproteobacteria; Pseudomonadales; Pseudomonadaceae
Rfam family: Pseudomonas sRNA P26
About the family: P26 is conserved across many Gammaproteobacteria species and appears to be consistently located between the DNA directed RNA polymerase (beta subunit) and 50S ribosomal protein L7/L12 genes.
Source: Rfam
GACCUUGAGCGUCCAGCCCAAGCGUCAAGCAGAAGGCUGAUGGCUGGUGGCUUAUGCCACCGGCCU